AUUGAACGCUGGCGGCAGGCCUAACACAUGCAAGUCGAACGAGUGGCGGACGGGUGAGUAAUGUCUGGGAAACUGCCUGAUGGAGGGGGAUAACUACUGGAAACGGUAGCUAAUACCGCAUACCAUCGGAUGUGCCCAGAUGGGAUUAGCUAGUAGGUGGGGUAACGGCUCACCUAGGCGACGAUCCCUAGCUGGUCUGAGAGGAUGACCAGCAACACUGGAAAUGAGACACGGUCCAGACUCUUACGGGAGGCAGCAGUGGGGAAUAUUGCACAAUGGGCGCAAGACUGAUGCAGCCAUGCCGCGUGUAUGAAGAAGGCCUUCGGGUUGUAAAGUACUUUCAGCGGGGAGGCUUUACCCGUAGAUGAGGCACCGGCUAACUCCGUUACAGCAGCCGCGGUAAUUC
Molecule: ribosomal RNA, 406 nt
Filed under: uncultured bacterium
Lineage: Bacteria
Description: partial 16S ribosomal RNA
Rfam family: Bacterial small subunit ribosomal RNA
Source: RNAcentral